RNAcentral lists this RNase P RNA (371 nucleotides) under Tissierellia bacterium. Its description in RNAcentral is "RNase P RNA component class A". It matches the Rfam family "Bacterial RNase P class A". Rfam says of the family: Ribonuclease P (RNase P) is a ubiquitous endoribonuclease, found in archaea, bacteria and eukarya as well as chloroplasts and mitochondria. The record is from RNAcentral. RNAcentral also lists the same sequence under 1 other name. Lineage: Bacteria; Bacillati; Bacillota; Tissierellia.
UGAGUAAGUUGUAUGGUCGCGUGCUUCAAGCAUGAGGAAAGUCCGUGCUCCGUAGAGCAAGAUGCUGGAUAACGUCCAGUGGGGGCGACCCUAAGGAUAGUGCAACAGAGAUAUACCGCCUGAAUUGGAUAACUACAUAUCAUGUGGUUUUAUUGGGGUUCAGGUAAGGGUGGAAAGGUGAGGUAAGAGCUCACCAGUAUUUAGGUGACUAAAUAGCUAUGCAAACCCCAUCUGGAGCAAGACCAAAAGGGAACUUAAAAAGAUAGUUGCUCGCUAUCGUUCCAAAGGUAGGUCGCAUGAACCCAUUGGUAACAAUGGGUCUAGAUAGAUGACCGUAUAAACAGAACACGGCUUAUAGACUUACUCAAUUA